AGGAGGGCAGAGGCCACAGACACUGGAUAGGCAGCCAACACAUUUCUACUAUGGAUCCAUACUUUGUGGUUUUCUUUGGCUGCUGCCAGAGCAUGCAGAAGUUCCUGGACCAGGGGUUGAACCCGAGCCACAGCAGCAACCAGAGCCACAGCAGUGACAACAUCGGAUCCUUAAUCUGCUGAGCCACCAGGGAACUCUUGGGUCUGUGUUAGGGUAGGAGAAACUGAGGAUUGAGUCAUUUAUUAAAGGGCAUUUGCUCACUGGCUAUUGAGCAGACGCACAUCUCUCAUCAACAGAUGUCCCUUGAGUGGGAAACAUUGCCUAUUCUGGACCAUCUGGAACCUUGUAUUUUAAUCAAGAGUCUUCGAGUUGCAAGACAUAGAAGCCUAUUCAAGCUAAUUUGAAUAAAACAACAGGGUUUAUUCUCAGAGUACAGGAUUCAAGACCUCAUCCUGUCUUCUCCCACAAAUGACAUUAUAAUCUCAUAUGAUGAAAUGUUAAAAACGGUACACACAUUGCUUAUUGAAAAAAAUAUUAAUUCACCCCAGAGGCCUCUGCAGCCUGUUCAGGGUGGAGCCUCUGUUCCUGUCAUUAUAUUUGGGUUUAGGGAGCUUCAAAUAUAUCUAACCCGUUUUGCAUGCAGUUCUAGCUAGCUCAUUUAAGCUUAAUUAGAUGGAUGUGUUCAAAAAAAGGGAAAGGAACUGAAGUUUCUCAGGAAAAAAAAAUAUAGGGGAUAGAUUGGAAAUCUGGAUGGUGAAAUCUGCUCUCCUCAUUACCCGGCUUAGAUAUUCAGUGACUGUAGCCUCAACUGCAUGCCUGCUCUGCACUGAGCUUGCAUUCUGAUUCUGGUCCCACAGGUGCAAGCCAGAGAUUACUCCAGGCUUGCAAGAGGCAUGCUGGUUUUAUAAAGUUUUCUCCACCUACUCCCGUGCAUGAGCUGGGACCAUGGAAAAACUUCUCAGCCACUCAAGUAUCCAGAGAGGGCGAGGUAUCUUCUGUCUCUUCGUGAAGGUUCCAGACAGCCCUGUUUUGGGGAUGUCAGGUGACUGCGGUGAAGCUGUCAAUCAUAGACCUUGCUCCUGUUACCAUAGAGAUUGGUCAGGUGACUGAAGGCCAGCCAAUCACAAUUACCGUUCCAGUGCAAAGGGCUGCCCUCACAACAGAUGAAGUCAAAAUCUCAAGACUACGUCUCAUUGGUAUGACACAAGUCACAUGUCUGUUCCCAAACCUCUCACAGUGCUUGGGAGAAAAAUAUGCUGAUUAGCGAGGUCUUAGGGGAAUCUUUCUCCACCUCUGAACCCUGUGGACUGGGAGUGAGGAAGAGGAGUUUCCUAAAGACAAGCCUAGGUGAAUUCAUUAGAGGAAUCACAGAUAGAAGCACAGUUACCCACCACUCAUAGGUGCUGGAGAAGUCUGUUUCUCUUCCUAACCUGGGAGUCCUUGGGGGCAGGAAGUUGGGAGAUUCUUCCUGAAGCUACACAUGUAAAAAAUGGGUAGAGGAGUUCCCUGCGUGGCCCAGCAAUUAACAAACCCAACUAAGAUCCAUGAGGAUGUAGGUUCGAUCCCUGGCCUCGCUCAAUGGGUUAAGGAUCUGGCAUUGCCAUGAGCUGUGGUGUGGGUCACAGACACGGCUCGGAUCCUGCAUUGCUCUGUCUGUGGUGCAGGCCGGCAGCCAUAGCUCCAGUUUAGCCCCUAGCCUGGGAACUUCCAUAUGCCUCCGGUGCAGCUUUAAAAAAAAAAAAAAAAAAGCAAAAGGGGGGCAGGGGGCAGAAAAAAGAAACCUUCCAGGGACUAGAGCGUCCUUCCUUUCUCAACUGUUUAUUAAACUGUAAGCAUUGGAAGGACAGGGAUGAACACACACAGACAGGCUCCCUGCCUGCCCUGGGGCUCACGGUCUUGUUGGAGAGGCAGAGAGUGAUGGGCAUCUACUAAUCUUUGUAGGAACAGAGAUUCUUCUCUGCAGCUGAGAACACUCGACAUGAUCAGAGAGUAGUACAGUAACCCUCACAUCUUCCUCAUAAAACCCUUCUAGGAGUUCCUAUCGUGGCUCAGCGGUU
This 2057-nucleotide long non-coding RNA is filed under the name Sus scrofa (pig). RNAcentral's name for it is "lncRNA (ENSSSCG00060041724.1)". The record is from RNAcentral. Lineage: Eukaryota; Metazoa; Chordata; Mammalia; Artiodactyla; Suidae.